UGUAUCUGUCUUAUCUGUCUCUGCAGAAGGAAAUUCCGGAGUCCAGACCUUCCUGGUUGCCCAGAAGAUGUGACAAUGAUAUUUUGAAGCCACUAUCAGCUGCAUUCAGAGGGAGAUGACAAGAAGAGAGCACCUCACAUGCAAAUCCUUGUGUGUCUCAUGAAAGGGAAGAGCAUUUCUUGUAAAGCCAGACUCACCAUGGAAUGCUGGAAAAUGCAAGGCACUUCAUCUGCUGGAGUCACCUUUGUCCCCAGGGAGCCUUUCACCGUGAGCUCCUCGCUCUGUAACAGAGAGUCCAACUAGAGAGAAGGUCUUCCAAUGUGACCAUAUGUAGAGAUUUCCUGAAAAGAGACCUACAAAAGUA
Molecule: long non-coding RNA, 364 nt
Filed under: Serinus canaria (Common canary)
Lineage: Eukaryota; Metazoa; Chordata; Aves; Passeriformes; Fringillidae
Description: lncRNA (ENSSCAG00000011915.1)
Source: RNAcentral